This 429-nucleotide ribosomal RNA is filed under the name Pseudomonadota bacterium. Its description in RNAcentral is "Proteobacteria bacterium partial 16S ribosomal RNA". It matches the Rfam family "Bacterial small subunit ribosomal RNA", at positions 355 to 776 of the family's 1533-position model. The record is from RNAcentral. Lineage: Bacteria; Pseudomonadati; Pseudomonadota.
UGGGGAAUAUUGGACAAUGGGCGAAAGCCUGAUCCAGCCAUGCCGCGUGUGUGAAGAAGGUCUUCGGAUUGUAAAGCACUUUAAGUUGGGAGGAAGGGCAGUAAGCGAAUACCUUGCUGUUUUGACGUUACCGACAGAAUAAGCACCGGCUAACUCUGUGCCAGCAGCCGCGGUAAUACAGAGGGUGCAAGCGUUAAUCGGAAUUACUGGGCGUAAAGCGCGCGUAGGUGGUUCGUUAAGUUGAAUGUGAAAGCCCCGGGCUCAACCUGGGAACUGCAUCCAAAACUGGCGAGCUAGAGUAGGGCAGAGGGUGGUGGAAUUUCCUGUGUAGCGGUGAAAUGCGUAGAUAUAGGAAGGAACACCAGUGGGGAAGGCGACCACCUGGGCUCAUACUGACACUGAGGUGCGAAAGCGUGGGGAGCAAACAGG